This is a long non-coding RNA of Anser brachyrhynchus (Pink-footed goose), 1354 nucleotides long. The record is from Ensembl. Lineage: Eukaryota; Metazoa; Chordata; Aves; Anseriformes; Anatidae.
CGCAGCCACGUCUCCAGGAGCAGGCAGCUGGUGCCCUCGCCGCAGGGCCUGGGGGGAAUCCCACCUCCAUGCGUGCUCAAUAAGCAGCUCGGUGGGGAAUCCUAACGUCUGCUGAAGCGUUUGCAGUACAGCACUGAACUGGGGGUGCUGGGGGUGCCUCUCCCCGGGCGUGCUGGUGCCUGGGCUCCUGCUCCGUGAGGAGGCUGCCCAGUGCCUGCGUGCACCAGCUCCUCCCGUGGCACCUGGCAUCUCCGUGUGCAUGCUUUUAAGUAAGCUCCAAUACCCCUGCAGAGAAAGUGUUAAAUUCUGUCAUGCUAAAGGUCACAGGGAGACCCAAUAAACGCCCAGUUUAACAAUGGGGAGAAAUAUUUUUAUCGGUAACCUUUCGAGAAGCUAGUUUAAUUGCAUGCUAACAGUCACUCACUGAGGGCUGCUAGGAGCUACACGGAAGGCAAAUGACAACAGUUGAAGGGUCGUUAAAGUUUGACUCUGGGCUUUGCUGAGUUUGACGGGGUAGGUUCCCUGCACGUCUGGCAUGUCUCCAGCGCUGCAGGAGCAUCCCUGCAGCCAGGCUGGUGGCACAGCGUGGCAGCCAGGAGCCACAGCUGGCACAGACCUGCAACACAAGGGCAGGUGUAGAAAGGGUGGUGGGAUGGAAGGUUUUUCAGAGGAAUCUGCUGAGUUUGGGGAAGCCAGAGCUUUUCUUCUCAAUGACUUUUUGUAUGCAGAAUGCAAGAGCUACGGUGCACAGGGCGGAGACAAUACCCCACGUGCGUCCCCCAGGAGGGAACCAGCUCCCUGCUCAGUGAGGGGUUGGAGCAGAGCGCCUGGUGGGGACGGGCAGCUGCAGCGCAUCACGGGGAGCCUUUAAGUUGGUGCUGCCCAGGGCAGCUUGCUUUUGGCAGGAGAGCUGAGAGGAUCAAGAGCUCCUUCUUUCAGGGCUCAAAGAGCCUGAUGGUGUGUGCAACGGUCACCGCAACUUGUUCUCCUAGUGCUGCUUCUGUUGGCUGUGGAAAUGCUGCAGGCCCCUGCAAGGGCACUGUCCCCAGGUGUCCCCGUGUCCUGCUGCAGUGAUGCCAGCUCUGUGGGAUAAAGAGCACCGCAACCUCCAGUCACCAUGGCUGCUCUAGCAAUUUCGCCUUUUAUACACACGCGCAGCCUAACAAUAGCAGAAUGGGUCCCUGCAGGCAGGGAAUAUCAAGCAAAGCCGCUUUUGUGAUUCUGCCUGCAGUGCAAAGCGAGCCCUGCUUCGUAGCUCUAGAUAUUAUCUGCAAGCUGCUCUGUGUAACUUUAUUUAGAUCUUUCUGCAUUAAUUGCAUGGAGAAGGGCUCAAAAGUUCAGAAUGUGAGAGAGG